This 116-nucleotide ribosomal RNA is filed under the name Neobacillus niacini. Lineage: Bacteria; Bacillati; Bacillota; Bacilli; Caryophanales; Bacillaceae. The record is from RNAcentral.
UCUGGUAAUAAUGGCGAGAAGGUCACACCCGUUCCCAUACCGAACACGGAAGUUAAGCUUCUCAGCGCCGAUGGUAGUUGGGACUUUGUCCCUGUAAGAGUAGGACGUUGCCAGGC